GACGAACGCUGGCGGCGUGCUAAACACAUGCAAGUCGAACGGAAAGGCCUCUUUCGGGGGGUACUCGAGUGGCGAACGGGUGAGUAACACGUGAGUAACCUGCCCUUGACUUUGGGAUAACUUCAGGAAACUGGGGCUAAUACCGGAUAGGAGCUCCUGCUGCAUGGUGGGGGUUGGAAAGUUUCGGCGGUUGGGGAUGGACUCGCGGCUUAUCAGCUUGUUGGUGGGGUAGUGGCUUACCAAGGCUUUGACGGGUAGCCGGCCUGAGAGGGUGACCGGCCACAUUGGGACUGAGAUACGGCCCAGACUCCUACGGGAGGCAGCAGUGGGGAAUAUUGCACAAUGGGUGGAAGCCUGAUGCAGCAACGCCGUGUGCGGGAUGACGGCCUUCGGGUUGUAAACCGCUUUCGCUCAUGACGAAGCUUUGUGUGACGGUAGUGGGUAAAGAAGCACCGGCUAACUACGUG
Molecule: ribosomal RNA, 467 nt
Filed under: uncultured bacterium
Lineage: Bacteria
Description: partial 16S ribosomal RNA
Rfam family: Bacterial small subunit ribosomal RNA
Source: RNAcentral